AAUAAUUUUAAAGUACAUUACAGGUUAAAUUCUUUAGAUCCAUCUCAUUCUAAUUAUUCAUGUCUAGGAAAAUCUAUUAUGCAUUGCACAUUGAAUCUUUUUUCGUACUGAAGCUGUAACCUUAAUUACUGCAAAAACAUUUUGAAGCCCUAUACUCUUACACUAAUUAUCAAUUGGAGUAUUAAUUGAAAAAACGAAAAAGCUACUUGAGAAAGAAGCAGACAGAAGGGUUGCAUUGUGCAUUUGAAGGUUAUACUGUCAAACUGACUGAAAAAGAACGAAAUAAGGAAGUGAAAAAAUGAAGAUAGCGUGGCUCAUUGGCUGGUCAAUUCCCAUGAUGCAAGGCGGUAAAUAAUGUAUAAAUUUGCCGAUAAUUUCGUUCGAAAUACAAAUGUAACUUCAUGAAUUUUGUUUUUUUUAUGUGUCUGCUUAGAAUGUAGUGUUUUGUUGCGUGGUAAUUGUCAUUGUUGUGCCGGUUUACCAUUGUAACCUUGAGUUAAAUGAGUGUUACGUUUUAUAAAACGAGCUGGAUUAAUUGGU
Molecule: long non-coding RNA, 540 nt
Organism: Osmerus eperlanus (European smelt)
Lineage: Eukaryota; Metazoa; Chordata; Actinopteri; Osmeriformes; Osmeridae
Exons: 2
Source: RefSeq, a predicted model, not a curated record